CGGGGUGCACCAGGCGCGAAAACUUUACAAUGCGGGAAACCGUGAUAAGGGGACACCGAGUGCCAGCAUCAUAUGCUGGCUGUCCAGGUGUGUAAAAUACACCUGUCAGCAAGGGCCGGGCAAGACCGGUGCCAGCCGCCGCGGUAACACCGGCGGCCCGAGUGGUGAUCGUGAUUAUUGGGUCUAAAGGGUCCGUAGCCGGUUUGGUCAGUCCUCCGGGAAAUCUGACGGCUCAACCGUUAGGCUUUCGGGGGAUACUGCCAGGCUUGGAACCGGGAGAGGUAAGAGGUACUACAGGGGUAGGAGUGAAAUCUUGUAAUCCCUGUGGGACCACCUGUGGCGAAGGCGUCUUACCAGAACGGGUUCGACGGUGAGGGACGAAAGCUGGGGGCACGAACCGGAUUAGAUACCCGGGUAGUCCCAGCCGUAAACGAUGCUCGCUAGGUGUCAGGCAUGGCGCGACCGUGUCUGGUGCCGCAGGGAAGCCGUGAAGCGAGCCACCUGGGAAGUACGGCCGCAAGGCUGAAACUUAAAGGAAUUGGCGGGGGAGCACA
RNAcentral lists this ribosomal RNA (554 nucleotides) under uncultured archaeon. RNAcentral describes it as "bacterial SSU rRNA". It matches the Rfam family "Archaeal small subunit ribosomal RNA", at positions 326 to 880 of the family's 1478-position model. The record is from RNAcentral.